RNAcentral lists this ribosomal RNA (253 nucleotides) under uncultured bacterium. RNAcentral's name for it is "partial 16S ribosomal RNA". It matches the Rfam family "Bacterial small subunit ribosomal RNA", at positions 524 to 776 of the family's 1533-position model. The record is from RNAcentral.
UACGUAGGGCGCGAGCGUUGUCCGGAAUUAUUGGGCGUAAAGAGCUCGUAGGCGGCCUGUUGCGUCCGCUGUGAAAGCCCGGGGCUUAACCCCGGGUCGGCAGUGGAUACGGGCAGGCUAGAGGUAGGUAGGGAAGAAUGGAAUUCCCGGUGUAGCGGUGAAAUGCGCAGAUAUCGGGAGGAACGCCGGUGGCGAAGGCGGCCACCUGGGCCGACCCUGACGCUGAGGCGCGAAGGCGUGGGGAGCGAACGGG